UACGUAGGGUGCAAGCGUUAAUCGGAAUUACUGGGCGUAAAGGGUGCGCAGGCGGUUUUGUAAGCCAGAUGUGAAAGCCCCGGGCUUAACCUGGGAAUGGCAUUUGGGACUGCAAGGCUAGAGUGUGGCAGAGGAGACUGGAAUUCCUGGUGUAGCAGUGAAAUGCGUAGAUAUCAGGAGGAAUACCGAUGGCGAAGGCAGGUCUCUGGGCUGACACUGACGCUCAUGCACGAAAGCGUGGGGAGCAAACAGG
Molecule: ribosomal RNA, 253 nt
Filed under: uncultured bacterium
Lineage: Bacteria
Description: partial 16S ribosomal RNA
Rfam family: Bacterial small subunit ribosomal RNA
Source: RNAcentral